RNAcentral lists this ribosomal RNA (484 nucleotides) under uncultured bacterium. Its description in RNAcentral is "partial 16S ribosomal RNA". It matches the Rfam family "Bacterial small subunit ribosomal RNA", at positions 30 to 507 of the family's 1533-position model. The record is from RNAcentral.
AUUGAACGCUGGCGGCAGGCCUAACACAUGCAAGUCGAGCGGAUGAAGGGAGCUUGCUCCUGGAUUCAGCGGCGGACGGGUGAGUAAUGCCUAGGAAUCUGCCUGGUAGUGGGGGAUAACGUCCGGAAACGGGCGCUAAUACCGCAUACGUCCUGAGGGAGAAAGUGGGGGAUCUUCGGACCUCACGCUAUCAGAUGAGCCGAGGUCGGAUUAGCUAGUUGGUGGGGUAAAGGCCUACCAAGGCGACGAUCCGUAACUCGUCUGAGAGGAUGAUCAGUCACACUGGAACUGAGACACGGUCCAGACUCCUACGGGAGGCAGCAGUGGGGAAUAUUGGACCAUGGGCGAAAGCUUGAUCCAGCCCUGCCGCGUGUGUGAAGAAGGUCUUCGGAUUGUAAAGCACUUUAAGUUGGGAGGAAGGGCGGUAAGUUAAUACGUUGCUGUUUUGACGUUACCCACAGAAUAAGCACCGGCUAACUUCGUG